Molecule: long non-coding RNA, 212 nt
Filed under: Capsella rubella
Lineage: Eukaryota; Viridiplantae; Streptophyta; Magnoliopsida; Brassicales; Brassicaceae
Description: long non-coding RNA (CRUB_LNC004538)
Source: RNAcentral
UUUCAUUUUUUUUUGAAGUUACUAUAUAUAUAGUACUCCAUAUACUAGUGGGGCUCAUAAGUGACAUGUAAAGCGAAAAAGGUAACCACAUUUUCAGCGCAAAUUAUAAACCUCUGCUUUUUAGUACAGUAUUUUUUAAAUAUUUGAAUGUGGAAGAUUUUGGGGUUAACAUAUAUUGAUAUAUAUAAAGCAAUACAAGCCUAACUAAAGAU